GAUGAACGCUGGCGGCGUGCCUAAUACAUGCAAGUCGAGCGAACAGACGAGGAGCUUGCUCCUUUGACGUUAGCGGCGGACGGGUGAGUAACACGUGGAUAACCUACCUAUAAGACUGGGAUAACUUCGGGAAACCGGAGCUAAUACCGGAUAACAUGUUGAACCGCAUGGUUCAACAGUGAAAGACGGUCUUGCUGUCACUUAUAGAUGGAUCCGCGCCGCAUUAGCUAGUUGGUAAGGUAACGGCUUACCAAGGCAACGAUGCGUAACCGACCUGAGAGGGUGAGCGGCCACAAUGGAACUGAGACACGGUCCAGACUCCUACGGGAGGCAGCAGUAGGGAAUCUUCCGCAAUGGGCGAAAGCCUGACGGAGCAACGCCGCGUGAGUGAAGAAGGUCUUCGGAUCGUAAAACUCUGUUAUUAGGGAAGAACAAAUGUGUAAGUAACUAUGCACGUCUUGACGGUACCUAAUCAGAAAGCCACGGCUAACUACGUG
RNAcentral lists this ribosomal RNA (497 nucleotides) under uncultured bacterium. Its description in RNAcentral is "partial 16S ribosomal RNA". It matches the Rfam family "Bacterial small subunit ribosomal RNA", at positions 28 to 507 of the family's 1533-position model. The record is from RNAcentral.